Molecule: long non-coding RNA, 1291 nt
Organism: Bombus impatiens (common eastern bumble bee)
Lineage: Eukaryota; Metazoa; Arthropoda; Insecta; Hymenoptera; Apidae
Exons: 2
Source: RefSeq, a predicted model, not a curated record
UCAUAUUAUGUUGCUAUUUCCAUAUAGCAGUAAUUUUUGCGAUUAAAGCCUUGUCUUUGUAAUUGUCGGAAAGAAUGACGUCCAAUAGAUAGCGAUCUUACGAUCGCUACUACGAUCUAAUUCUUACGAUCAAAAUCGUGAAAUCUAAUUACCGCGAUCAAAUGUACGCGCUUGAAUCGCGGCAGAUCAUCUUCCACGGAUCGCCCACACGAUUUUCUUCAAAAACGUUCACGUUAUCGGAUAUAUAUGUGCAUAUUUCUUUUUCUUGUUCUUUCCUUCCUUUAACUUGUUUUACAGCUACUCGGUUUGCAUAUUUAGUUAGUUUAUCUUAAUUAUUAACAUUCCCUUUCACAUACACAUAUAAACACUGUCGCACGACUUUGCUCGUACACUCCGCGCCACAUAUCGUAUUUGUACCUUCUUAGUUCGUCUACGAUUCUAUAAAAAUGUUACAAAAGACCAUCUUAUUUCUACCACCUGUUAGAUCGAAUAAUUCGGAAAUAUAUCGUAAUACAGUGAGAAACAAUGAAAGAUCAACCAUUAUCGUGCCUCGUAUCAUCAUAGUCGACAGAUUCGUUUACUUUUGAGUGUCUUAUCGUUUAGACAAGCGGCUGGACAAAGUAGAUCGUUUCUUCGCGUCGUCUCGCAGGCGAAACGAAAACAUUGAGACUAUCGCUUGUAUAAUAGAAAUCGGCGCUGCCUCGGCACUGUGCUGUGUUUUUAUAUUCUUUUCUGUAGGAUAAUUUAUGAAGCAUUCGUCAAGUUUCACCCUCGGUUUAUCCAGUAUCUCACUAAUAGAUUGUUUCGUUCCUUCCACCUUGUUUGUUUCGGCAAGUGCAAACCUUACAAUUCUCUUUGAAUCCUUUUAUAACGAAUUAAUAUUUUCGCAAAAUCUCUUCUAAAUUGGCUAAAGCUACCAGUGAUUGGAAGGGUUUGAAAAUUUUAUAGCUAAAAUGUUCUCAGGCGAGUAAGAGCAGGCUUCUCCCUUUAAAGGUUCCAGAAAGGAUGUUACAGCACUUCCCCGAUUUACCAAUAUUCGAAUAUUAUAUCAUAAAUCGUCGUGCUGAAUUUGUCCAUCAGCUUUCGCAGGUUUUAAUGUACAGAUGAGAAUAUUUUUCGGCGUAUAAACGUCGUGCCUUUGUGCUAUUGCCACCUACCGACGGUAGCAAAAAUGCAUGUACGAAUGUUCUCUAACUCUAUACAUGUUAUAAUAAAAAUAUAAAAUAUACGUAUCUUUAUUCCAUUAGGGUCAAAUUUACGUGGCAUUGUGAUGAUAACUUGUAUGUAAAAA